UACGGAGGGUGCAAGCGUUGCUCGGAAUUAUUGGGCGUAAAGGGUAGGUAGGUGGUCUCAUUUGUCUGGGGUGAAAGCCUUGAGCUUAACUCAAGAAGUGCCCCAGAAACGGUGAGACUGGAGUCCUGGAGAGGGUCGUGGAAUUCCCGGUGUAGCGGUGAAAUGCGUAGAGAUCGGGAGGAACACCAGAGGCGAAAGCGGCGACCUGGACAGGUACUGACACUCAACUGCGAAAGCGUGGGGAGCAAACAGG
Molecule: ribosomal RNA, 253 nt
Filed under: uncultured bacterium
Lineage: Bacteria
Description: partial 16S ribosomal RNA
Rfam family: Bacterial small subunit ribosomal RNA
Source: RNAcentral